GCAGUGGCAGCUGGUGAUGGAGAAGGGGAGCAUCCAGGCUCUGCAGGGAGGUGUUGAGGCUGCUUCUGUGGCUUACAUUCCCUGCUCCACCAGCUCCAGUAAAGGCACAUCUGAGUACACAGAUCUGGGUGAGAGCAUGUGGCAAGUCCUUACGGCCCAGCAGGAGAGCUCUGAGGGGAACAAAGAAAAUGGUCAAGCAAGCCGCAGAAGUUCAUGUAAGGCCACAAUGAAGCCAGGCGGGGCGUUUUACCCCUGCUGACUCAUGAGGGAGUUCAGGGAAGACCCUAUGGCCACAGCACCAUGCACCCCGCUGCCAAGAAGUGUCUGGAGCAAAGCUGAAAGGUUUUAUUCACCGGCACAGGGGCCGUGCCUCCUGCUCUAACACAAACACCAUAAAUCCAGCUCGCAGGAGCCGGGCUCGCUCCCUCUGCAGCCCAGCCUCGUGCUCCAGCGCGCAGCAGCGAUCGCUCCCGGCAGCGCAGACGUCAGCGAGGCGCUCGUGGAGGCAAUGCGAGAGCUCCUGUAAAGCCGGGUACACGAGCCCUUGGAGAGGAGGCAGGUGGAUGUAACGCCACCAGGACUCAUCCAAGGCAACGGGGCUGUCCGGUUUUACACCGACAGUGUGUACAGCCCUCGGUGCUUGAUACCAGAUGGUAUUUUAUAAGCGCUGGAAUUAUUUAGGAGCACGGCUAUUACCCCUGCACUAAUGAAUUACAAAUAACUCCUCCAGGAAAGACCCUUUGCUGACUAAGAAGCAUGUCCCUCAGAUAAACUAACUGUUGAGGUUUAAAGGGUCAGCAGUUUUUUAAAAAUGUUUUAUUCCUAGUAAGUUAAAGGGGCCCUGGAAUAUCCCACUUGCCUCAUUAGCGAAUAUUACCCAAUUUUUCUUUCAUAGUGUAGCAGGGGGGAAGAAAAGCAUAUAAAAUAAACACCUGGCAGGAAUGCAUAAUCUGCAUAAAUUCAAGCAGUUACACUCUUGACAGGAAACCAAACCAAAAUGAGACUUUUGAAGCAGGCAUCGAGGCCUCAGCAAGGAUUAAUUUUCAUGCAGAGAGUGCAUGGCUGGGAUUUUAAAGAGCAGCCUCGCAGAUCCUGGUGCUCGCUUCCCUCUGGGUGCACCAGCUGCCUGGUGCAGCUCCCCCAGCUUUUCCAGCUGCAAGUCACCAGCAAAGCAAGGGCAGCUCCCCCCUCAGCGGGUUGUGGCUCCUGGAGCUGCGUGGCAUUGUCACACCUUAGCUGUAGGUCCCCAGCUGGUGUCACUUCUCCAUCAGCAUCGAGUACUGCAGUGACCAAGUGAGCGCACCUGUACGCUGCAAUAGUUUGCAAGCUGUGGUCGGCUCUGCUAGCUGAGAGUCACAGAAGGACCAAUGCAGGAGGGAUAGGACACUAUUUUAUCCUAUAAGGUUUCUAUCAUUUCCUUCUGCACAGGAACCCUGUAGUUUCCCAGAAAAAAAAAAAAAUGCUUUGCCAAAAUAUUUGUGCAAAUUCACAUCCAACCUCUUCAGAAUAUGGCAUAAUGCAGUGUCUGCCCAUUUCCAAGCUUUGUUUUGUCUGGCAGAUGUUGUGGAUUAGGAGAUAACCCAGAUCAGUGCACCUGAUCCCAUGCUCUGGAUUGAGCAAUGCUUAGUGUCAUCCUAUUUAAUGCCAUGCUGGAGACUGUGCUGAGGGCUUUCUGAGCCCUUUCAGUUCCCUUUCUUGGCAGGAGUGCUCUCUUCAUUUGCAUAUAUUCCCUUACCUUUCCAGCUGAAGGAGGAGGAAAAAGGAGUGGGAGAUAUGGAGGUAGGUGUAUGAGCUAUGGGAGGUGGCAGGAAGGAAAAAAGGUUGAUUUUAAAGGCACGUGUCCAUUAGGCAGGAGAAAAACUGAGGCACAGUCCUAGAGCAGGCUCGGAGGAGUCCUCACCUUACCAGGAGCACUCACAGCUUUUCUCCAGGUUUUCUCCCAUGCUCAAUUACCUGAAAAUUAAGCUCAUUGUAAGAUGCUUCAACAGUAUGAGUGGAGGGGGAAAAUGCAGAGGGAUUGUCUUUAAAAGGGAAAAUAAAAAGAGUAAAUUUUUAAUGCUCAAUUAAUUUUAGGUGCCAAACAACAUAUUUGUAACAGAGCUGGUCUCAUCAGAAUAAUGGAAAAUCCAUGCUCUGAGACAUCAAUUAUUGAUAAGGGUUAACAGGGCCAUAUCCAUUCAGGAUGGCGAGCAGUGUUGUUGCUUUUCCCUGCACAUUUAGUUUUCUGCUUCUCUCACUCCCUCUUUUCACCCUCUAACCCCACUGUAACAAGCAUCCCCUCCCCAGACCCCCAGUUCUGCUGGCAAUUUUACCAUGGGAGAGACUGAUCUAUCCCCCCAAAAAAGGUGCAGUUCAAGGUGUUAGAGUGCAAACCAACACGUUAAUAAUCUAAAAACAUAAAUCCAGCAGCCUGAUGUGUUUGAGCCCAAGUCAGGAGACUGAACUUAAGAUCAUGCAUUGAGGUGGAGUUAUAUGGGCCUGAGAAACCCAAGGCAAAUAGAUUGCUUUUUUAUUAUCAUCAUCUUUUGUCUCCAAACAAGAAAGCUAGAAACCAGUAAGAAAAGAAAAAGGAGUGCUGAGAUUUUGUCACAACUGCAGACUCAGCCUUGAAUUAUAGAAACUCUCAUGGAAAAAUAUGCAGUAAUUGUUUUGCAGCAGAAUUAGGAAUGAUCACUAUGAGAUCAGCCCCACAGGAUCUUGACACUCACUGUGCUUUGAAAGCCAGCAAAGAGGGAACAACUCUGGAAGAUCCUAGCCCUGGGAUUACGUAUUUCUCUGCAAAUGCCAUGUAGGAUAGGGUCCUUUGGGUCUGCCAUCACCUCCAGGUCAACUUCCAGCUAAGCUGAAUGGGUAAUAACACUUCUAGGUCUUCAAUUUUGCAGCUUUAAGCCUAAUGUUUUCAUUCACCUUUGAAUAGUUUCCCAUCUGCAAAUAUCAGGGGAAAGGCAGGGCAUGAUGACAACUAAAUGGCAAUUUCUGCCAAGAAUCUCCUCUCCUUCUCUUGGUGAUGUGAUUCAGCAGAAGCAAAGCAGUUAUUCCUCUGCAGCAGGCUUCAAAAGAGCAGGAAAGGUUGGAGCCAGGGCGCAGAGGAAUGGAGCUGGCUGUUGUUUGGGGCACCUAGGUGAGGAAGGGAGGUAGGAACGUGCUCCAGGGAUGUUCCCGGACUUGGACCAUCUGGGAGACAAAAUGACAAAGGAAUGUUUCCCAAAUAGCAUCACAAAACAACAAAAGUCAUCAAUCCAGCAGUCAGCAGCACCUCCCUGCUACACCGGGCACCUCUGCUUGCCCAGCCCCGUUUGCUCUGAUUGUUUCAUGUUUCCUUUUCCAGGCAGCAAAACUCUCCCAGUUGUGGCUUCUUCAAGGCAGGGAAGGAAAGUUUUUCUGCUCUUCAUAUUCAAAAAUCUGUAUAUGAACAAAGACGAGGACAAAUUCAUAUACAGAAAUAUCGUCUUGCAAUUAAUCAUAAAAAACAGCAUAAUGUAGUAAUGAUUACUUAGCAAGACGGAACACCCACUCUGUUCUAUCUUCUUUUUGUCGUGAGUUGGACAAUUUUCAACUGUUAAUAGGUAAAGCCUAGUUUUCAA
This is a long non-coding RNA of Cygnus olor (mute swan), 3584 nucleotides long. RefSeq lists it as uncharacterized. The record is from RefSeq and is a predicted model, not a curated record. The transcript is spliced from 4 exons. NCBI's taxonomy places the organism in Eukaryota, Metazoa, Chordata, Aves, Anseriformes, Anatidae.